Molecule: ribosomal RNA, 545 nt
Filed under: uncultured bacterium
Lineage: Bacteria
Description: bacterial SSU rRNA
Rfam family: Bacterial small subunit ribosomal RNA
Source: RNAcentral
AAUAGAUACCCCGGUAGUCCUGGCCCUAAACGAUGAAUACUUGGUGUCUGGAGUUUCAAGACUCCGGGUGCCGUCGCUAACGUUUUAAGUAUUCCGCCUGGGGAGUACGUGCGCAAGCAUGAAACUCAAAAGGAAUUGACGGGGACCCGCACAAGCGGUGGAGCAUGUGGUUUAAUUCGACACAACGCGAAGAACCUUACCUGGACUAGAAUGUGAGGGAAUGUCGGGUAAUGCCGGCAGUCCGGGAAACCGGACCCAAAACAAGGUGCUGCAUGGCUGUCGUCAGCUCGUGUCGUGAGAUGUUGGGUUAAGUCCCGCAACGAGCGCAACCCUUAUCAACAGUUGCCAUCAUUAAGUUGGGAACUCUGUUGAGACUGCCGUUGAUAAAACGGAGGAAGGUGGGGAUGAUGUCAAGUCAUCAUGGCCUUUAUGUUCAGGGCUACACACGUGCUACAAUGGAAGGUACAAAACGUCGCAAUCCCGCAAGGGGGAGCUAAUCGCGAAAAACCUUCCUCAGUUCGGAUUGGAGUCUGCAACUCGACUCC